This is a long non-coding RNA of Neoarius graeffei (lesser salmon catfish), 947 nucleotides long. RefSeq lists it as uncharacterized. NCBI's taxonomy places the organism in Eukaryota, Metazoa, Chordata, Actinopteri, Siluriformes, Ariidae. The record is from RefSeq and is a predicted model, not a curated record. The transcript has 3 exons.
GUGUCUCUGUCCUGAAUUAUUUAAUAAUUCUUUAGAUUGUGCAGAAAGUGAAGGAUCAUGGGAUGGCAGAGGACGUCAUGGUGAAAUGGAGAGCGCAAACAGAUGGGGUGGCGUUUCACAAGGAGGAAGGAGAAAAAUAAUACAACCAGAGAAAAAAAAAGAGCUGUGUUUCAAAUCACAAUAAAUCUGUAGUGUGUGAGAUAUUUUAGUGUUAGGAGUAUGUUCAGUCCAGGAAAUUUAUCGAGAUUUAUCGAGAUUACCAUUAAAGCUUCCAGUUCAUGGCAGGCCUGUGCCUUGGUGGUUCCUGGAUUGUUCCUGACCAUCUGAACCAGCUGAAGAUCUGCACUGAGCUCCUCGGACUUUCCCAUUGUACUGUGUGUUGGUCAAUCCAAUCAGUGUCAAACAAACCCUCUUAUGUUGCACAGAAAAGCUACUAGUCCUGUUAGUCAGUCAUCAUCACUAACAGGAAGUUAAGAGACCUUGGCCUUGGCAUAGUGAAGCCACAUUUUAGAAUUUUCAGCACCUCUGAUUUUAUCAUCUAAGUGGCUGUAUGUAUAAUUUUGACCCUGUGUUGAUUUCAUCUCAUCUCAUCUCAUUAUCUGUAGCCGCUUUAUCCUGUUCUACAGGGUCGCAGGCGAGCUGGAUCCUAUCCCAGCUGACUACAGGCGAAAGGCGGGGUACACCCUGGACAAGUCGCCAGGUCAUCACAGGGCUGACACAUAGACACAGACAACCAUUCACACUCACAUUCACACCUACGGUCAAUUUAGAGUCACCAGUUAACCUAACCUGCAUGUCUUUGGACUGUGGGGGAAACCGGAGCACCCGGAGGAAACCCACGUGGACACGGGGAGAACAUGCAAACUCCACACAGAAAGGCCCUCGCCGGCCACGGGGCUCGAACCCGGACCUUCUUGCUGUGAGGCGACAGCGCUAACCACUACACC